This 437-nucleotide ribosomal RNA is filed under the name uncultured bacterium. RNAcentral describes it as "partial 16S ribosomal RNA". It matches the Rfam family "Bacterial small subunit ribosomal RNA", at positions 28 to 507 of the family's 1533-position model. The record is from RNAcentral.
GAUGAACGCUGGCGGCAUGCUUAACACAUGCCAGUCGGACGGGAAGGGGUGUUUCUAGUGGCGUGCGGGUGAGUCACGCGUAAGAACCUGCCGUGGGUAAGGGGACCUCAACUGUAAACGAUUUCUAAUACACCGUGGCCAAUGCCGGAAAGGAGGGCAUCCGCCCGAGGAGGGGUUUGCGUCUGACUGGCUAGUUGGUGAGGUACUAGCUUACCAAGCCGAUGAUCAGUGGCUGGUCCGAGAGGAGGAUCAGCCACACUGGGACGGAGACGCGGCGCAGACUACUACGGGAAGCAGCAGUGGAGAAUGCACCGCAAUGGGAGAAAGCAUGAAGGAGCGAUGCGGCGUGGAGGUAGAAGGUCGACGGGUCGUGAACUUCUUUUCUCGGAGAAGAGACAAUGACGGUAUCUGAGGAAUAAGCAUCGGCUAACUCUGUG